RNAcentral lists this transfer RNA (73 nucleotides) under Mesoplasma florum. RNAcentral's name for it is "tRNA-Met". It matches the Rfam family "tRNA". Rfam says of the family: Transfer RNA (tRNA) molecules are approximately 80 nucleotides in length. Their secondary structure includes four short double-helical elements and three loops (D, anti-codon, and T loops). Lineage: Bacteria; Bacillati; Mycoplasmatota; Mollicutes; Entomoplasmatales; Entomoplasmataceae. The record is from RNAcentral. RNAcentral also lists the same sequence under 2 other names.
CGCGGGGUAGAGCAGUUGGUAGCUCGUCGGGCUCAUAACCCGAAGGUCGUAGGUUCAAGUCCUGCCCCCGCAA